UCCGAUUGAUCCCGUCGGACCCCACUGCUAUCGAGAUGGGACUAAGGUAUGCUAGUCGAACGACCAGAACUAUGUCUGGAAGUGGCACACUGCUCAGUAACACGUAGCUAACCUACCCUUAGGACGUGGAUACCCCCGAGAAAUUGGGGCUAAUCCGCGAUAGGUGUAAUGUCCUGGAAUGGUAUUACGCCUAAAGGUGUAUCAUACAUGUUUGAUAUACGCCUAAGGAUGGGGCUGCGGCCGAUCAGGCUGUUGGUGAGGUAAUGGCUCACCAAACCUUUGACCGGUACGGGCCAUGAGAGUGGUAGCCCGGAGAUGGACACUGAGACAAGGGUCCAGGCCCUAAGGGGCGCAGCAACCGCGAAACCUCCACAAUGCACUCACGUGCGAUGGGGCUAUCUCGAGUGCCACCUGAUGAAGGUGGCUUUUCCUAGGUCUUCAAAGCCUUGGGAAUAAGAGGGGGGCAAGACUGGUGUCAGCCGCCGCGGUAACACCAGCCCCUCGAGUGGUGGGGAUGAUUAUUUGGCCUAAAGCGUCCGUAGCCGGCCGAGCAAGUCUUCCGUUAAAUCCAGCGUCUCAAGCGUUUGACUGCGGGAGAUACUACACGGCUAGAGAGUGGGAGAGGUCAGCGGUAUUCUGGGGGUAGGGGCGAAAUCCUUUGAUCCCCGGAGGACCACCAGUGGCGAAGGCUGCUGACUAGAACACGUCUGACGGUCAGGGACGAAAGCUGGGGUAGCGAACCGGAUUAGAUACCCGGGUAGUCCCAGCCGUAAACGAUGCAUGCUAGGUGUUGGUUGGCCACGAGCCACCCCAGUGCCGCAGGGAAGCCGUUAAGCAUGCCGCCUGGGAAGUACGAUCGCAAGAUUGAAACUUAAAGGAAUUGGCGGGGGAGCACCACCAGGCGUGAAGCCUGCGGUUUAAUUGGAGUCAACGCCGGGAACCUUACCGGGAGCGACAGCAGAAUGAAGGCCAGAUUGAAGAUCUUGCCAGACGAGCUGAGAGGAGGUGCAUGGCCGUCGCCAGUUCGUGCCGUGAGGUGUUCUCUUAAGUGAGAUAACGAACGAGACCCGUGCCACAUGUUGCCACCAGUAUCUAAAGGAUAGCUGAGCACUCUUGUGGGACCGCAGCCGAUAAGGCUGAGGAAGGUACGGGCAACGGCAGGUCAGUAUGCCCCGAAUCUCCCGGGCCACACGCGGGCUGCAAUGGUACAGACAGAGGGCUGCCACCCCGAAAGGGGGAGCCAAUCCCUAAACUGUACCUCAGUUGGGAUCGAGGGUUGCAACCCACCCUCGUGAACAUGGAAUGCCUAGUAACCGCCAGUCAUCAUCUGGCGGUGAAUACGUCCCUGCUCCUUGCACACACUGCCCGUCGAACCACCCGAAUGAGGUUUGGGUGAGGAAUGGUCGAAUGUUGGCCGUUUCGAACCUGGGCCUCGUAAGGAGGGUUAAGUCGUAACAAGGUG
Molecule: ribosomal RNA, 1462 nt
Filed under: metagenome
Description: bacterial SSU rRNA
Rfam family: Archaeal small subunit ribosomal RNA
Source: RNAcentral